UACGUAGGGAGCGAGCGUUAAUCGGAAUUACUGGGCGUAAAGCGUGCGCAGGCGGUUAUGUAAGACAGAGGUGAAAUACCCGGGCUCAACCUGGGAACUGCCUUUGUGACUGCAUAGCUGGAGUACGGCAGAGGGGGAUGGAAUUCCGCGUGUAGCAGUGAAAUGCGUAGAUAUGCGGAGGAACUCCGAUGGCGAAGGCAAUCCCCUGGGCCUGUACUGACGCUCAUGCAAGAAAGCGUGGGGAGCAAACAGG
RNAcentral lists this ribosomal RNA (253 nucleotides) under uncultured bacterium. RNAcentral describes it as "partial 16S ribosomal RNA". It matches the Rfam family "Bacterial small subunit ribosomal RNA", at positions 524 to 776 of the family's 1533-position model. The record is from RNAcentral.